AGUGACGUCUGCCCAGAGAGCCAGUCCCAGAGUUGCGGCUGUUUGGCUUGCUGCGUAAGCGCCCGGGUCUUCCGGGCGUACUGGAGUCCGGUCUUUGCCCAGCAGUCCCUGCAAAUCUCGUCUUGCUUGAAACAAUAGAUUAAAACCAGACUGGCAGUUGGGGAACGCUUUCUAUUGCAACCAUGUGUGUCAGAAGAAAGGAUUAGGUUUCCUUGUCCAAGAACAUCAAGGGGAACCUCCACCUCUGCAGACACACCUUUAUUCCUCGAGUACAGCUCUUCAAAGAAGACAGAGAAUUGCUCCUAAAAGCCCUUCUUGAACCACGAUGAUCCACCUAGAGCACUAUGAUACCUGGAGGUAGUAGAGAAAAGCAAUUUUAUUUGAGAUGGUGAUGAACCGUGCUAAAAGGAUGUCAUUCCCAGUCGUUCUUGCAGCUAGGUCUGUCUGUGUAAUUUUUUUGCUGUAUAAUACUCCAUUCUAUGAAGGUAACAUAAUUUGUUCACCCAUUCUACUGUUGAUGGACAGGUGAGUUAUUUUAACCUUGGGGAAAAUAUGAAUCAUGUUGCUAUGAGCAUUCUUGUACAUGUACUGUAGUUGACAAGUACAGGAGUUGCUUUAGCCUAGGUGCCCAGAAGUAGAAUUCUGGGCCAUGGGGUAUGUAUAACUUCAAAUUUAACAACAGUUUUCAAAACAGGUUGCACUAAUCUGUACUCUCACUAACUGAGAAUUCCAAGAGCUCCACAUUCUCAUCACACCUGACAUUACUGGACUUGAUCAAUUCUAUGAACCUGGUGAGCCUGAGAAUUUUCCAGCUAUGAAAAGAAUGGAAGCAAUUCGUGGCAGAGGAAAUAAUAUAUGUAACAGUCUAGUGGAAUGAAUGAACUUGAAGCAAAUCCCCCUCAAGAGAGGCCUACAGAGACUGUGGCCCCUGUGGAUAGCUUGACUGCAACCUUAUGAGAUCUGGAACCUCUCCUAUAAGUCACUCUGCAUCCUUGACCCAGAGAAGCCCUGAAAUAGUAGGUAUUUGUCAUUCAUUUUUAAACUGCUAAAUUUUGGGGUAAUCUGCAGUAUAGCAAUAUAUAAUUAUACAACAUACUUUUCUCAUUUUUCCAAAUGAGAAAAAUUUUUCAUUU
This is a long non-coding RNA of Mustela erminea (ermine), 1133 nucleotides long. RefSeq lists it as uncharacterized. The record is from RefSeq and is a predicted model, not a curated record. Lineage: Eukaryota; Metazoa; Chordata; Mammalia; Carnivora; Mustelidae. The transcript has 7 exons.